Molecule: non-coding RNA, 84 nt
Organism: Echinostoma caproni
Lineage: Eukaryota; Metazoa; Platyhelminthes; Trematoda; Plagiorchiida; Echinostomatidae
Source: Rfam
GGCCUCGUAGCUCAGCUGGUAGAGCUUGCGCUGUAGAAAAGCGUAGGCGGCGUCCAUGCGUGGGUUUGAAUCUCACUAAGACUA